UACGAAGGGGGCUAGCGUUGCUCGGAAUCACUGGGCGUAAAGCGCACGUAGGCGGCUUCUCACGUCAGGGGUGAAAUCCUGGAGCUCAACUCCAGAACUGCCUUUGAUACUGAGGGGCUCGAGUCCGGGAGAGGUGAGUGGAACUGCGAGUGUAGAGGUGAAAUUCGUAGAUAUUCGCAAGAACACCAGUGGCGAAGGCGGCUCACUGGCCCGGUACUGACGCUGAGGUGCGAAAGCGUGGGGAGCAAACAGG
This 253-nucleotide ribosomal RNA is filed under the name uncultured bacterium. RNAcentral describes it as "partial 16S ribosomal RNA". It matches the Rfam family "Bacterial small subunit ribosomal RNA", at positions 524 to 776 of the family's 1533-position model. The record is from RNAcentral.